Molecule: ribosomal RNA, 503 nt
Filed under: uncultured bacterium
Lineage: Bacteria
Description: bacterial SSU rRNA
Rfam family: Bacterial small subunit ribosomal RNA
Source: RNAcentral
UCAGAUUGAACGCUGGCGGCAGGCCUAACACAUGCAAGUCGAACGGUAACAGGAAGAAGCUUGCUUCUUGCUGACGAGUGGCGGACGGGUGAGUAAUGUCUGGGAAACUGCCUGAUGAGGGGGAUAACCACUGGAAACGGUAGCUAAUACCGCAUAACGUCGCAAGACCAAAGAGGGGGACCUUCGGGCCUCUUGCCAUCGGAUGUGCCCAGAUGGGAUUAGCUUGUUGGUGGGGUAACGGCUCACCAAGGCGACGAUCCCUAGCUGGUCUGAGAGGAUGACCAGCCACACUGGAACUGAGACACGGUCCAGACUCCUACGGGAGGCAGCAGUGGGGAAUAUUGCACAAUGGGCGCAAGCCUGAUGCAGCCAUGCCGCGUGUAUGAAGAAGGCCUUCGGGUUGUAAAGUACUUUCAGCGGGGAGGAAGGGAGUAGAGUUAAUACCUUUGCUCAUUGACGUUACCCGCAGAAGAAGCACCGGCUAACUCCGUGCCAGCCGCAGC